CCUACGGGAGGCAGCAGUGGGGGAUAUUGCACAAUGGGGGGAACCCUGAUGCAGCGACGCCGCGUGGGUGAAGGAGUGCUUCGGCAUGUAAAGCACUAUCGGCAGGGAAGAAGCAAGACGGUACCUGACUAAGAAGCCCCGGCUAACUACGUGCCAGCAGCCGCGGUAAAACGUAGGGGGCGAGCGUUAUCCGGAUUCACGGGGUGUAAAGGGAGCGUAGACGGCCAGGCAAGCCAGGGGUGAAAGCCCGGGGCCCAACCCCGGGACUGCCCUUGGAACUGCAUGGCUGGAGGGCGGGAGGGGCAGGCAGAAUUCCUGGUGUAGCGGUGAAAUGCGUAGAUAUCAGGAGGAACACCGGCGGCGAAGGCGGCCUGCUGGACCGCGACUGACGUUGAGGCUCGAAAGCGUGGGGAGCGAACAGGAUUAGAUACCCCAGUAGUC
RNAcentral lists this ribosomal RNA (441 nucleotides) under uncultured bacterium. RNAcentral describes it as "partial 16S ribosomal RNA". It matches the Rfam family "Bacterial small subunit ribosomal RNA", at positions 338 to 795 of the family's 1533-position model. The record is from RNAcentral.